Molecule: ribosomal RNA, 501 nt
Filed under: uncultured bacterium
Lineage: Bacteria
Description: partial 16S ribosomal RNA
Rfam family: Bacterial small subunit ribosomal RNA
Source: RNAcentral
ACUCAAAUGAAUUGACGGGGGCCCGCACAAGCGGUGGAGCAUGCGGUUUAAUUCGAUGCAACGCGAAGAACCUUACCUACUCUUGACAUCCUAGGGAUUUAGCAGAGAUGCUAAAGUGCCGCAAGGAGCCUAGAGACAGGUGCUGCAUGGCUGUCGUCAGCUCGUGUCGUGAGAUGUUGGGUUAAGUCCCGUAACGAGCGCAACCCCUAUCCUUAGUUACCAAUACGUAAAGGUAGGCACUCUAAGGAGACUGCCGGCGACAAGCCGGAGGAAGGUGGGGAUGAUGUCAAGUCAUCAUGGCCUUUACUGAGUAGGGCUACACGCGUGCUACAAUGGUUGGUACAAAGAGAAGCGAAGCCGCGAGGUGGAGCAAAUCUCACUAAAGCCAAUCACAGUCCGGAUUGGAGUCUGCAACUCGACUCCAUGAAGCUGGAAUCGCUAGUAAUCGUAGAUCAGAACGCUACGGUGAAUACGUUCCCGGGCCUUGUACACACCGCCCGU